Vigna umbellata (rice bean) is the source of this 582-nucleotide non-coding RNA. NCBI's taxonomy places the organism in Eukaryota, Viridiplantae, Streptophyta, Magnoliopsida, Fabales, Fabaceae. The record is from RefSeq and is a predicted model, not a curated record.
UCUGCAAUACAAUAUACAUUGGCUUAUUAUCUAGGAUAACUAUAAUUUAGAAAGAAAGCAAAGGUGGCACGUGGUUGAAAUGUACACACGUGUAUGAGAGAGACAGAACAUAAUGGCUGCUGCAUACGUUAGUUCAUCCCUUCCCUAGAUGCUCUGUCUUGGUAUGUAUGGUUUCAUCUUCCUACUCUUGUGUCUGCGGAUAUUAUAUUAUUUUCUUUCUCUCUGUUAUUUUCUUUGUUUAUUUUCUUCUAUAUAAACCUCACACACCACUCUAUCUUUUCACACAGUUCUCUUUCUCUCUUUUCUCUGUUCUCUGUUCUCUGUUCUCUGUUCUCUGUUCUUAAAAAUUUCAGUUUUUUUUGGGUGAAUUACGUUGCCAUCAUCACCAUGGCCAUGAAAAGUGCUGCUUCCUCUGCCAUUCGCUCUCUGCUUUCCUCGUCCUCUUCCACUUUCUCCAGAAACCUUCAUGCUCCGGCUGAGAGGAAGAAGAUUGUGGGAGUGUUCUACAAAGGGGGUGAGUAUGCUAAGUUGAAUCCCAAUUUUGUGGGAUGUGUUGAAGGAGCAUUGGGUAUUCGUGAGUGG